GGUGUCUCAGAAGGAAAUGUUGAUGUUGUUACCAGAGGGGAGAAUGAUGAUCAGCAGGCAAAAGAAACAGAUGUCCACUACACACCCCACCCCAGACAGGACUGAAUGCGAAUUUCAUCUUCAUGACCAGGAGAAAGAGGAGAACCGAAUCACCUUUCCUGAAUGCAGGCCAACUUUUUAAACCCAAUUCUCUAAGAGGAGGCUUCUGCGCUAAAUUUUGUGGUGUCUGCCACUUGCCCAAAGUUCUGGAACUAUUUAGGAAGAAGGUGGACUUGUCCUGGCCAGUGUCUGGUCUCCAAGAAGCCCCUCUGCCAAGGAUCCUUUCAGAGAUGCAAGAAGCAAAGGAUUUUUGAUUGAGACAGUCGGAGGGCACCCAGGAGCUCCCAGAAAUGGGGAAGGGUGGGAAUCCGCGUGGGAUCAGCGCCCAGACGCCGCCGCCCUAGCCCUUGCAGUGGCGAGGCUGCGUGGAAGCCCACUCCCCGGCCCCGCGCCACAUUUCCUUCUGGCGCUGGGGAACAUUGUUCCAGAAAACGUGGGCUGAAUCGCAGUGCGAAUAUUAGGGGCGGGAGGAGAAGGCCCGGCGCGCCGAGCCAGUAAUCCGA
Long non-coding RNA from Bubalus bubalis (water buffalo), 602 nucleotides. RefSeq lists it as uncharacterized. The record is from RefSeq and is a predicted model, not a curated record. The transcript is spliced from 3 exons. Lineage: Eukaryota; Metazoa; Chordata; Mammalia; Artiodactyla; Bovidae.